RNAcentral lists this long non-coding RNA (253 nucleotides) under Vigna radiata. RNAcentral describes it as "long non-coding RNA (VRAD_LNC015060)". Lineage: Eukaryota; Viridiplantae; Streptophyta; Magnoliopsida; Fabales; Fabaceae. The record is from RNAcentral.
UAGCCCUUUCCUUGGGUUUAUUCUUGGCCCCUUCUCCAUCCCAGCACUCCUUAGCAUAGUCACCAUAUUUUUGGCAGUUAAAACAUUUGACCUUUUUCUUGUCAAAUUUCUACUCUCCAUCAGUCUUCUUUGAUUUCUUUUCUUUUCCAGACUCACUGGACUCUUCUCCUUGUUGGUCUUGAGAGUCUUUCCCUUUCUUGCCUCCUUUACCUCCUUUCUCGAAGCCCUUUUUUCCCUUCCACUGAGAUCUGCC